This 329-nucleotide small nuclear RNA is filed under the name Bos mutus (wild yak). RNAcentral describes it as "7SK RNA (ENSBMUG00000020495.1)". It matches the Rfam family "7SK RNA". From Rfam's summary of the family: 7SK was discovered as an abundant small nuclear RNA in the mid-70s but a possible function has only recently been suggested. Two independent studies have found that 7SK RNA binds the CDK9/cyclin T complex (known as elongation factor P-TEFb). P-TEFb activates transcription by phosphorylating the C-terminal domain of RNA polymerase II. The record is from RNAcentral. Lineage: Eukaryota; Metazoa; Chordata; Mammalia; Artiodactyla; Bovidae.
GGAUGUGAGGGCAGCCUGGCUGUGAUAUCUGUCACUCCACUGAUAGACAGGAUUGACUGAGCUGAUCUGGCUGGCUAGACAGGUGUCCCCUCCCUCCCUCCCACGUGUGUCCCUUCUGAAGCUGUAUGCUUAGUAGAAGAGGAUAACCUUCUGCAAUAGUGCUUCAUGCGUAGUUCAUGAAUGCUAUAGGCUUCAUGCACUGUAGUCCAUUCUUCAGUCAAGGAUAUACAAGUAGCUGUGCUCCCUUGCUACAACCUCCAAACAAGCACUCAAGGUCCAUUUACAGGAACACGCAGGAUAGUCAAGCUUCUAAGAAUCCAGUCACUGAU